RNAcentral lists this ribosomal RNA (326 nucleotides) under uncultured eukaryote. RNAcentral's name for it is "partial 18S ribosomal RNA". It matches the Rfam family "Eukaryotic small subunit ribosomal RNA", at positions 1470 to 1796 of the family's 1831-position model. The record is from RNAcentral.
CCCUUAGAUGUUCUGGGCUGCACGCGCGCUACACUGAUGCACUCAACGAGUUUACGACCUUGCCCGAUAGGGUUGGGUAAUCUUUUUAAAAUGCAUCGUGAUGGGGAUAGAUUAUUGCAAUUAUUAAUCUUCAACGAGGAAUUCCUAGUAAGCGCGAGUCAUCAGCUCGUGCUGAUUACGUCCCUGCCCUUUGUACACACCGCCCGUCGCUCCUACCGAUUGAGUGCUCAGGUGAAUAAUUCGGACUGCAGCAAUGUUUGGAUCCCGAACGUUGCAGCGGAAAGUUUAGUGAACCUUAUCACUUAGAGGAAGGAGANGUCGUAACA